AGCUCGACACCUACGGAGGCAGCAGUGGGGAAUAUUGCACAAUGGGGGAAACCCUGAUGCAGCAACGCCGCGUGAAGGAAGACGGUUUUCGGAUUGUAAACUUCUGUUCUUAGUGAAGAUAGUGACGGUAGCUAAGGAGCAAGCCACGGCUAACUACGUGUCAGCAGCCGCGGUAAUCUGAGCGGGCUGGCAAGGC
RNAcentral lists this ribosomal RNA (196 nucleotides) under uncultured bacterium. Its description in RNAcentral is "partial 16S ribosomal RNA". It matches the Rfam family "Bacterial small subunit ribosomal RNA", at positions 329 to 539 of the family's 1533-position model. The record is from RNAcentral.